This is a long non-coding RNA of Amblyraja radiata (thorny skate), 125 nucleotides long. RefSeq lists it as uncharacterized. The record is from RefSeq and is a predicted model, not a curated record. The transcript has 3 exons. Lineage: Eukaryota; Metazoa; Chordata; Chondrichthyes; Rajiformes; Rajidae.
UCCGUCUCUUCUCGCAACCUGGGAAAGGAGUUGAGCUGCAAGGAGAGGAGAGCAGACAGCACUGCAGUUUGCCGGGGUCUAACUCAAACCAACAGUCACAAACAGAUCACCACAAACAGAUCAGU